RNAcentral lists this long non-coding RNA (7366 nucleotides) under Gossypium barbadense (sea-island cotton). RNAcentral describes it as "long non-coding RNA (GBAR_LNC002030)". The record is from RNAcentral. Lineage: Eukaryota; Viridiplantae; Streptophyta; Magnoliopsida; Malvales; Malvaceae.
AAGAUUAAUGAGUCUAGUUUCAAAUGGAAUAAACGAGAACAUAUUUUUAAUUCUGUACAAUGAUAAAUUUGAUUCGUAAUGAAGAGUGGUCAGAUUAGUCAAACAGUGAAACAUGGGAAACUUUAAGAAAAAUCUGGUAUUGAUUGGCUAAACCAAAAAUUCUGAAAAUUUUAUGGAUAAAAGAUAUAUGAGUCUAUUUUCAGGUAAAAUUAACGGCACUUGAUUUGGAGUUUCGUAGCUCCAGUUAUAAAUGAUUUAGUGACCGUUGUUCAGGAAGACAGCUUGCAGUGAGAUUAUGAUUAUGUGGUAAACAUUGACAAAAAUUUGUUAAUGAGUUGCUUAUUGAUUUCUUAUAAACUUACUAUGAUCUGUAGGUGUGGUUAGCCGAAUAUUGUAAGGGGUUAAUACGUAGUUCGUAUUUGAAUAGUUAGAUUAAUGUGUUAGUAAUCCAAUUGUAGGCAGUUCGUGUGUGGAUCUCGUCAGCAUAUCGUCGCAAACAGGUGUGUAACUAACACCCUCUUUCUUAGUCUGGAUCGGCAAAAGUCGAAAAGCCGAAAUGCUAAAAACUGGUAUUUUGUAGAUUUGCGAGUGUGCGAAUGCUCGUGAGGUAAAUUGAUUAAUGUUUUUGGUAAGCUGCAAAAUUUGGACUGCAAAGUGCAUGAUUUCUGUGCCCUCGAUAUUUUUGGGCUUAAUGGGCCAAAAUGAGAAUGAUGGGCCAACGGACCCAAUUCGGUAAGAACCCUCGGUACGUGAUUCUGUUAGUACGUGAAAAGUAGGAAUAUGCAUGAAAAACCCUAAAAUAGAUAAAUUACUGAAAUACCUUUAAAAGUGGAAAAUUUACAGUUUUACCCCUAGUAGAUAAAUUACCGAAAUACCCCUAGGGUUAAAUUGACCUAAAUGCAUGUUUGACUGUUGUUAUUUACUGCAUGCCAUGUUGUUAUUAUCUGAUGCAUGGGAUUGGGAUAUUGACGGAGGAAGUACUAAAAGUGGCUUGUCCACGUACUGGAGGCUUUGCCUCAAUUUACUGUUAACUGAGCAGCAAGGCUGCAACUGUGGAGUGUUGGGUUGGGUGGGUUGAGCUAUUCCCCACAUGGAGUGCAGGGCUGGUACGGGUGGAGUGUAGUGGCUGGUGGGUUGAGUAGUCUCCCCAAAUGGGCUUGCAUAUGUUAUUGAUGUUGCAUGUAUUUUGAAAUGGGCCUAUGGGCCAUACUGUUAUCUGAAUAAGGGGCUAAGGCCCAGUUUAUUGUAAUCUGAAAAGGGCUUUGGUCUAGUACCACUGUUACCUGAAUGGGCUUAGGCCCAAUAGGCUUGAGCUGACUUGGCUUUGAAUGGGUUUUCCUUACACACUGAGUUUCUCCAAACUCACCCCUUUUAUUUUCAUCCAUGCAGGAAAUCCCCAACCAUAGUGGGCUUGGAGCUGUGAGGGAAUUCGGAGUGGCCACCCGUUCUGAAAGUUUGAUUUUCUUCUGGUGAACUGGACAUCAUUUUAUUUACGUUUGAAGUUUUGGGUUUUUAAAUGUAAUAAGGCCACUUAAUUAUUUCUGAUGGUUUUAAUAUGUAUUACUAAGAUAGGUAUUACUUAUUUUAACUGUUGAAAUUGGAUAGCUUUAGGGCGCAUUUUCAAAAACAACAAUUGAUUUCAAAAUAACACGACAACAAGCAAAACUUCCGCAAUGAAAGUAUUUUCCAAAAUUAAUCACUUUUCCUAAAAAUGACUUAAUCAAAUCAGUUUCCUAGAAAUAUCCAUGACGUUAUGGUGUGGCAAUGGCGGUAUGCAUGUCUAGGAUUGGAUCCGAAGGGAGCUUGGUACUUAAGCAGUCCGAUGGACUUACCACCUCUUUUCCGGUUUCCUACCUGGUGCACAGCUUCCAUUCACUUUAACUUAUAAUGAAAUUAUCUUUUAAAACACUAAGUAAGUUUUUCUGGAUCAACAAUAUAAAAUGUUUUGGACGCUUCGAUAUGGCAUGUCAAAUCCGGUCAUAACGUCUGGGCCGGGUUUGGGGUGAUACAUUUAGUGGUAUCAGAGCCUAGGUUGCAACAACUCGGCUGUAGAAUGGGUUUACAAAAACAAAGAUUUUCAAAAACAAAAAUUUUAUAAAGAUUGCGAAAAACUCGAUUUUCAAAAUUUAGAUCUUUUGAAGGUGGCGCCCGAAUCUUCGGCUCAAGUCUGUAAGUAUUCUGAAUUUUUCUAAAUAUUUUCUGAAUUAUCUAUCUGUACUAAAAUCCUGCUAGGAUACUCUAGAUAGGAUGAUACUGAAACAUAGAAAAAUUUGAUAAGAGACUGAAACUAUAGCUAGACUUCGAUUCUGCGAAAACAAACUCUGAAUUACUGUCUGAUUCAUAAAACAUCCAUAAUAAACACUGGAAUAUUGAAUUAAUACAUAAAAAUUCAUAAUCGGAUAAUACGAUAUGAGUACAAGAGUCACUCGUGGAAGAGGCCGUGGACGGGGCCGAGGAAAUGCUCGAGCGAGAUCUUUAUUUUUGGGACAUAUGCCGGCGGUGGAUGGACCGAUACCACCGGCAACAGAGGUAGAGUCUCAUGACCGCGGUGUCGAGGAUGAUGCCCUGUCACAGGCAAUACUUCGUGUUCUGGAAAGGGUUGCCAGGGUAAGUACGGGCAAUGGAGUUCGGGGAUCUAUUUCUGAACGACUUCGGGCUAACGGAGCGGAGAUCUUUAGGGGCGUGUCUGGUAUAGCCCCGAAUGUGGCGGAAUAUUGGUUGGAGGCCACAGAACGGAUUAUGGACAACUUGGACUGCUUUGAGGAGAUUGUGAGUGGGGUAUCUGUACUAAGUCCUUUGGGUCACUCGGUUAGGGUAGACAAACUGUAUAGGGAUGUACCCUUAGAAACUCAAGGUAGGAUUUUCCCUGGAGAUCUGAUGGAGUUACCAUUCGGAGAGUUUGAUCUCAUUUUGGGAAUGGACUAGCUUGUUAAGCAUAAGGCGUUCCUGGAUUGUGCUGCUAAACGAAUGGUGUUAAGGACCACAAAGGAUGAUGAGGUUAUGGUGAUAGGUGAGCGAAGGGAUUAUUUGUCCAAUAUGGUGUCGGCAUUAAGAGCCGAGAAGUGGAUUUGGAAAGGUUGUGAGGCUUAUUUGGCAUUUGUAAGUUAGUCGGAAGAGGAGGGAUUGACAGUGGAUAAGGUUAGGAUCGUAAAAGAGUUCUAAGAUGUUUUUCUGGAAGAGCUUCCAGGAUUGCCUCCGAACCGAGAAGUUGAGUUUGGAAUAGAUUUGUUGCCAGGAACGGCGCCUGUGUCCAUCGCACCGUAUAGGAUGGCACUGAAGGAGUUAGUGGAGUUAAAGGCUCAAAUUCAAGAGUUGUUGGAUAGGGGCUUCAUUAGGCUAAGUGUGUCUCCAUGGGGAGCACCGGUGCUAUUCGUGAAAAAGAAGGAUGGUACGAUGCGGAUGUACAUUGAUUAUCGCCAGUUGAACAAACUUGCGAUUAAAAAUAAGUAUCCACUGCCAAGGAUUGACGAUCUGUUUGACCAGCUUAGAGGGGCUUCUGUAUUUUCUAAGAUCGACCUCUAUUUGGAUAUCAUCAGUUAAGGGUCAAGGAGGCGAAUAUCCAUAAGACGACAUUUAGGACUCGGUAUGGUCAUUACGAGUUUUUGGUUAUGCCAUUUGGACUGACGAAUGCUCCUGCAACAUUUAUGGAUCUGAUGAAUCGGGUAUUCCAACCAUUAUUGGAUCGAUUCGUAGUCGUCUUUAUUGACGAUAUCCUGGUAUAUUCUGAAAAUGAAGCGAAACAUGAUGAGCAUCUCUGUAUAGUGCUGCAAGUGUUAAGGAAGAAGAAACUCUUUGCGAAGUUCAGCAAGUGUGAAUUUUGGUUGAGGGAGGUAACCUUCUUAGGACAUGUGGUCUCUGCCGAAGGGAUUAAGAUAGACCCUCGAAAGAUUGAAGCAAUUUUGGAGUGGAAGCCACUUAGGACGGUGUCGGAAAUUCGAAGUUUCCUAGGGUUGGCAAGAUACCACAGAAGGUUUGUGGAAGGUUUUUUUGUUAUGGCAGCACCCCUGACAAAACUAAUAAGGAAAGGAGAACCGUUUGUAUGGACUGAGAAGCAGCAGGAAGCUUUUGAGAAGUUGAAGAAAGUUCUGACUGAAGCACCUGUGUUGAUUCAACCGGAGUCUGGGAAGGAUUUUACUGUGUACAGUGACGCAUCACAUGUGGGUUUGGGCUCUGUGUUAAUGCAGGAGGGUAAGGUGGUUGCAUAUGCAUCACGAUAGCUUAAACCGCACGAAGGGAACUAUCUUACUCAUGAUUUGGAGUUGGCGGCAAUGAUAUUUGCACUUAAGAUUUGGAGACAUUACUUGUACGGGGAGAGGUGUAUUAUAUACACAGACCACAAGGGUCUUAAGUAUUUGUUGACUCAGAAGGAGCUGAACCUUAGGCAAAGGAGAUGGAUUGAGUUGCUUAAGGAUUAUGACUAAUCGAUCGAGUAUCACCAGGCAAGGCUAAUGUGGUAGUCGAUGCUCUAAGUUGUAGAACUGUAUCUGAUCUGAGAAUAAUGUUUGCUCGUCUGAGUCUGUAUGAUGAUAGAAGUCUGUUGGCUGAGUUGCAAGUGAGGCCAACCUGGGUGGAUCAGAUUAAGGAAAAGCAGUUGAACGAUGAGUCUUUGGUCGCUCAUUUUCAACAAGUUAAGGAAGGGAAAACUUUUGAGUUUGGGUUAAAUGGCGAAGGAGUUCUGUGUUUCCGAGGAAGAAUUUGUGUUUCGAAGGACUCUGAUUUGAGGCAGACAAUAUUGAAAGAAGCUCAUGGAGGACUUUGUGCCAUGCACCUUGGAGGGAACAAGUUGUAUCACGACUUACGAGAAUUGUACUGGUGGCUUGGACUUAAACGAGAAGUAACGGAGUUUGUAGGGAAAUGUCUGACAUGCCAGCAAGUGAAAGCUGAGCAUCAAUUACCCUCUGGAUUGUUACAGUCAGUGAAGAUACCACUUUGGAAGUGGGAGAGGGUAGCCAUGGACUUUGUGAGUGGACUGUCUUUGACACCAUCAAAGAAAAACUCGGUGUAGGUGAUUGUGGAUAGGUUGACCAAAUCAGCCCAUUUCAUACCUGUACGUACUGACUUUUCACUUCAAAAGUUAGCCAAGCUGUAUGUGGCGGAGAUUGUACGACUUCAUGGAGUCCCAGUUUCGAUUGUCUCUAACCGGGAUCCCAGAUUCACAUCUCGGUUUUGGCAAAAGUUGCAUGAGGCGUUGGGGACGCGAUUGAACUUUAGUACGGCUUUCCAUCCCUAAACUGAUGGUCAGUCAGAGAGGGUUAUUCAGAUUCUGGAGGACAUGUUGAGGGGAUGCGUGAUUGACUUUCGAGGUAGUUGGGAGGAUUACUUGCCGUUGGCAGAAUUUACGUACAAUAACAGUUACCAGGUGAGUAUUCGAAUGGCACCGUAUGAAGCACUGUAUGGACGAAUGUGUCGUACACCUAGUUGUUGGACUGAACUAGGAGAGCGAAAAAUUCUUGGACCAUAGUUGGUAGCUGAUACUGAGGAUAAGGUCAGAAUAAUUAGGGACCGAUUAAAAGAAGCAUUUGAUAGGCAAAAGUCGUAUGCAGAUUUGAAGCGUAAGGAGAUUGAGUACUUAGUAAGUGAUAUGGUCUUCUUAAAGGUUUCUCCUUGGAAGAAGAUGUUAAGGUUCGGUAAGAAGGGCAAGUUGAGUCCGCGGUUCAUUGGGCCUUAUCGGGUUUUGAAGCGAGUAGGCCCAGUAGCUUAUCAGUUGGAAUUGCCUCUAGAGUUAGACAGGAUUCACGAUGUUUUUCACGUCUCCAUGUUAAGGCGUUAUUGUGCUGACCCUGCUCAUGUCCUGCCAGUUGCAGAAAUUGAAGUUCAGACUGAUUUGACCUUUGAGGAGGAGCUUAUGCAAAUAUUGGCUCGAGAUGUUAAGGUUCUCAGAAGGAAAUCUGUCCCGUUAGUGAAAGUACUUUGGCGUAAUCAUGGAAGGGAAGAAGCUACUUGGGAAUCAGAAGAGACUAUGCGUCAACAAUACCCUCAACUAGUUGGAUCAGGUAAAUUUCGAGGACGAAAUUUCUUUAAGGAGGGUAGAGUUGUAACGCCCCAACUUUCGGGAAUUCUGUGAAUGUUGGCAUAGGUUUAAUUAUGUUAGUGGGCCUUUAGAAGGCCCAAGCUUAAGAUAGAACCCGGCAAUUUUAGUUAAUUUUUGUUCCAUAAGAAAAAAGGGGUGAAAUUAUGAAAUAGGACCUAUGCGAAAAUGUUUGAAAAUGCUAUAGGCUAAAUUGAAGUGGCCAAAUAAAUAGGAGUGCAAAAUAGGAGGAUUUGCACGACAAACCUCCCAUUUUACAUGAAGUGGCCAGCCAUCAUGUUGUUGUAGACAAAAUGUGCACUUGAUAUCCAUAAUUUAUGGUACAAAUUGAUACAAAUUGAUAAUGGGUUAGGUAAAUGUUCCAUGAUAAUGGGUUAGGUAAAUGUUUCAUGAUAAUGGGUUAGGUAAAUGUUCCAUGAUAAUGGGUUAGGUAAAUGUUCCAUGAUGGGAAUUUCAUGUCUUUUGUAUUAAAGAAUUAAAUGGAUGAAAUAUGAAAUUUUAUUAAAACAAAAAGGGGUGAAAAGAACAAAGUUUUGUCCAUCUUUGUUCAUCAUAGCCUAAAGUUAGAGAAGAGAAAGGAGAGGAGAAAGCUCUUGAAUGUUCGGUCACUUGGGGAAGAAAAUUGAAGGUAAGUUCAUGGUAGUUUGCUUCUAUCUUGAUGUUCAUGAGUUCUUCUUGAUUCUACCUUAACUCUUGAAGCAUAUUUUGGUUUUUAGUUGUGUUGUGAGCAUUUAGUCAUGAAUUAAAAUGAAGGAAAUGGUUGUUGUUUCAUGUUCUUUUGAUGAAAAAUGGAAGAUAGGUGAAGUUAAGCCAAACAAAUGAGCAUGCAUGUGCCUUAGAUGCUAAGGGGAAAACUCUGCUAACAUGUUGUGAUUUAAAAUGAUGAAAUGGAGAUUAUACUUAAGUAAAAUCAUAGAUAUGUGAUGAUUGAUUGGUGAUAUACAUGUUUAAAUAACAAGCAUGCAAGUUAGGUGUGAAAGAGUGAUUUGGUAAUAAAUCUGCUUGGGACAGCAGCAGUAACGUGACUUUGGAAAAUCACCAUAAAUUGUGGGAGAUGAGUUAGAAGCUGCAUAAAUUAUGUAAUUAAAGAUUAAUGAGUCUAGUUUCAAAUGGAAUAAACAAGAACAUAUUUUUAAUUCUAUACAAUGAUAAAUUUGAUUCGUAAUGAAGAGUGGUCAGAUUAGUCAAACAGUGAAACAUGUGAAACUUUAAGAAAAAUCUGGUAUUGAUUGGCUAAACCAAAAAUUCUGAAAAUUUUAUGGAUAAAAGAUAUAUGAGUCUAUUUUCAGGUAAAAUUAACGGCACUUGAUUUGGAGUUUCGUAGCUCCAGUUAUAAAU